RNAcentral lists this long non-coding RNA (529 nucleotides) under Homo sapiens (human). RNAcentral describes it as "cytoskeleton regulator RNA". Lineage: Eukaryota; Metazoa; Chordata; Mammalia; Primates; Hominidae. The record is from RNAcentral.
GUUCCAAUGAGAAUGAAGGCUGAGGUGUGCGCCUUUUUUUUUUUUUCCUUCUUAGUCGUGUGUACAUCAUUGGGAAUGGAGGGAAAUAAAUGACUGGAUGGUCGCUGCUUUUUAAGUUUCAAAUUGACAUUCCAGACAAGCGGUGCCUGAGCCCGUGCCUGUCUUCAGAUCUUCACAGCACAGUUCCUGGGAAGGUGGAGCCACCAGCCUCUCCUUGAAUAACUGGGAGAUGAAACAGGAAGCUCUAUGACACACUUGAUCGAAUAUGACAGACACCGAAAAUCACGACUCAGCCCCCUCCAGCACCUCUACCUGUUGCCCGCCGAUCACAGCCGGAAUGCAGCUGAAAGAUUCCCUGGGGCCUGGUUCCAACCGCCCACUGUGGACUCUGAGGCCUCUGCAUUUGCGGGUGGUCUGCCUGUGAUAUUUUGGUCAUGGGCUGGUCUGGUCGGUUUCCCAUUUGUCUGGCCAGUCUCUAUGUGUCUUAAUCCCUUGUCCUUCAUUAAAAGCAAAACUAAAGAAAACAGAA